CCUUGAGCUGCUUCCUCUGCUGUAAAAAAAGAGAAAGUAUAUAAUCCCUGUGAUCACUGCUCUUCAUCCUCACAUGGAAAUACCAGCAACAAGAACAAUGCAACUCACACCAAUCCUUAAUUUGUUCCCUUCCUCAGCCUUCCCCGCAGCCAUCGUGCUGCCUCGGGCAGGAAGCACUCGCUGGAGACUCACAAGCUGCUGGGUGACUCGGAGGGCUUCGGGAACAGCCUUGAGGAAACUGCCGAGAAUCUGAAGCAGCUCUUGUCCAAGUGAUGAUGCUCCCAGCCAGGACUGGGAUGAGGACGUCCCUGUCCACACCCUGCAGCUCAACAAGCACACCACAUGUUGAACACUGUCACAGGUCAAGAUCUUCUCCCCGGACCUGCUGUACCGGUUGAUGUACUUGGCGGCAGUGAGUGACAUCCCCCUGUCCGUGGCCACUGACAUGCUGGAAGAGUGUGGCCUGGACUACCUCCCCAACACAGCCUGCUCGCAGCAGCAGCGUUGAGGCGGGAUGCAGCGUGCUCUGAGGCGACCCCGGGCAGGAGGCAACACGUGACCUCGAGCACCAGACCUUUUACCUCUAUUCAGGAGCAAUCGUGCAACUGAUGGAAGCUGGCACAGGAAGUUGCUGAUAUGUGGGCUAUGGCUGACUGGCUGGUGCUGUCUGGUCACUCAGCUCAGCAAGGGACUGGAAGCUGGAACUCUCUCUCUCUCUCUCUCUCUCUCACAAAAAAAAGUAAUGUAAAAGUGUAUAAGGUCCAUUGAAAAGAAGAGAGAGAGAGAGAGAGAGCCAUCUCAUCCUCUCUCUCUCUCCCCUCAACAUCCAGGCGGCAUCUUGGGAGGGGAGGGGAAGAGAAGAGAAGGGAAGGGAAGGGAAGAAUACAAUAGCUCACUGGUGGACAGAGGAAAGAGACAAGGAAGAAGAAGAAGAGUAGACUCGUCUCGUCUCGUCUCCCCCAGCAUCCAGGCAGCAUCUUGAAGGCCUGACUGGUUCCCUCGGCUCAGUGGUCUCGUCUCUGUCUCCCUUCCUGCAAGAGUCUGGCAGAGUUUAGUGCCAAGAAUGUGUGUG
Long non-coding RNA from Eriocheir sinensis (Chinese mitten crab), 1072 nucleotides. RefSeq lists it as uncharacterized. Lineage: Eukaryota; Metazoa; Arthropoda; Malacostraca; Decapoda; Varunidae. The transcript is spliced from 7 exons. The record is from RefSeq and is a predicted model, not a curated record.